AAUUUGUAGAUUGCCCUGUUGUUACACAUG
This 30-nucleotide non-coding RNA is filed under the name Cricetulus griseus (Chinese hamster). The record is from RNAcentral. Lineage: Eukaryota; Metazoa; Chordata; Mammalia; Rodentia; Cricetidae.